AAGCAGUUUGUCUUCUUGCAAGUAUUGAUAUUGAGUCCUGUUUACCUAUGAAUAUUAGAUUGUUAUUUCUUCAACUUAUAUUUUUGCUUUUUUAACCGCUCUUACAGUUUGGUCAAGAUGAUGUACAAUGUAUUGUAGAAAGUGUUAUUUAUUGAUUUUUUUUUUCAUUGUGGCCAGUUAGUCAUACCAUUGAUAAAAUAGUAUUCAUAUUUAAUUAAUUUAUUAGUCAUUUGCAUAUAUACAUAGUAGUAAGUACCCAUAUGAUCAAGAUAAACUGCAUGGAUAAAUCAUCUACAUUUAUAUGAUAAUGUCUAUAGCUCUAAAACAUAUAUAAUGGAUAAGCUUGUAUUUCUCGGUCACAAAACUUUAUCAACAGAUUUUCUACAGCAUAAUUGAAAUGGAACAAAACUAAACAGCAUUUGCUUAGUAAUAGAUGCAGUUGUGAAUUUCAAUAUUUAAUGUGAAUUCGAAAAUAUUUUUAAGGUUAAAAGGUAGAUAGCUAUAUAGGAGGAAAUUGGAUUUCAUAAGGACAUAGAUGCAUGACCCAAUAUUUUAUAACUCUUUACUUACAGUAGUAUGCAUAAUUCACUGCACAUGUAUAUUCCUCUGCACUUGUUUUUAUAUACAUCACACAUGAAAUGUUAUCCAUCUCUUUGCAUUUAAGGUGUUGGCUAUUGUACAAAGCAUUUCAAAGCAUUUACAGAAUUUUAUUUCUGACCUAUGGUGCUAUUUAAUUUUAACAUAUAUUUUACAGUUGUUUUAUUGCCUCACUGGGGACUUAUCUCAAAUAGAAAAGUGUCCUUGAUAACUCCUGCAUCUUUUUUUAUACUAAAAAAAUGAAUAAAAAAUUUAAUAUUUAUUCUCAUUUACAUAUCUAUAAGGGUCAAUACCUCUAUAAGUAUUGCUUUCAAAAUCUGAUUUUGUAUUCAGCAUCAACUUUUAUGUUAAAAAAAAUAGGGAUAGUGUCUACAAUUUGUGGCAGCCAUCUUGAAUCUCAGUUGUUUAGAUUUUAGAUAAAAUUAGCGACCAUCAAUAAAAAAUGCCAUUAAUUCAUGUUUUUUUAUCAUAUUCAUUGUUCAAUUUAUCCGUCCAAGAAAGUUUUAAUUUUUUUUAAACUUUAAAUGACUUGAUUUUUACGAUGAGAUAAGUAUCCACCUAAAGUCUGAUGAGGACAGUUCUUUAACUUGUGUUAUUGGUCAAUCAUAUAAAGACCUUUUAUAGUUUUUUUAAUGUCACCUAAGUAGAAUAAUUAUUCCAAAAUGAUGGUAAGAAAAUUAUUCUUCACAAUAAUGCUCCAUUUAUUAGUUUUCUCAACAUGGUCAACCUGAAUUUUAUUAAUGCCCUGUUUUCAUCAUUAGUUGUGCAUGUAAAGAUGCAGACUACUAACUGAUCAAAUGUAAAUGAAAAAUAUACUGUGCCAUAUUCUUAAUUAGAAAUAAAAAUUGUAAUUUAAUGUACCUUAAUUAGAAAUUUCUUCAUUAGUUCAUUUUCAGAAAAAGAUUGAACAUUUGUUUUUUUUUACACUUUUUCUCUCUCUAAAAUCCACAAAACUCUGAAUAAAUUUGAAUGGCCUUAUAAGGACUAAUUUUGCGACAGGGUUUAUUAAUUAUUUAAGUGAGAAUGACUGAACCUUUAAGGAAUAUUUAAUAUUAAAGGAUUGUAUAACUUAGUUUAUUUUAACCAACUUUACACAUUUUAAAUGUUUCAUACCAUAUUAAAUUAUAUUAAUUGUAUAGUAAUUUAUUCUGUACAGAUUCAGUUUGAAAUACAGAUUUAGCAUUGAAUACUUUUAUUUAUUAAAUCUAUGUAUAUUGUGUUUAGACUGACUUAACUUUUAAUCUUUGUCACAAAAACUGAACAAGUAUACUGUCAAUACAUGAUUUUACUUUAUGUAUGUAUAAUGAACAGUGAGUUAUCAAAAACUACAUAUUAUGCAAGAUUUAUUGUGAUACUGAUACAUAUUGUAGCAGAAUAACUGACAAAAAUUAAAA
This 1991-nucleotide long non-coding RNA is filed under the name Mytilus galloprovincialis (Mediterranean mussel). Lineage: Eukaryota; Metazoa; Mollusca; Bivalvia; Mytilida; Mytilidae. The record is from RNAcentral.